This 700-nucleotide ribosomal RNA is filed under the name uncultured bacterium. RNAcentral's name for it is "bacterial SSU rRNA". It matches the Rfam family "Bacterial small subunit ribosomal RNA", at positions 39 to 730 of the family's 1533-position model. The record is from RNAcentral.
GUGGCAUGCUUAAUACAUGCAAGUCGAACGGUAACAGGUUCUUCGGAAUGCUGACGAGUGGCGGACGGGUGAGUAAUACAUAGGAAUCUGCCCAUGUAGUGGGGGAUAACUUGAGGAAACUCAAGCUAAUACCGCAUAAGUCCUACGGGAGAAAGAGGGCCUCUACUUGUAAGCUCUUGCUAUUGGAUGAGCCUAUGUCGGAUUAGUUAGUUGGUAAGGUAAUGGCUUACCAAGACUGCGAUCCGUAGCUGGUUUGAGAGGAUGAUCAGCCACACUGGGACUGAGACACGGCCCAGACUCCUACGGGAGGCAGCAGUAGGGAAUAUUGGACAAUGGGCGCAAGCCUGAUCCAGCAAUGCCGCGUGUGUGAAGAAGGCCUGCGGGUUGUAAAGCACUUUCAAUUGGGAAGAAAAGUUUAGAGUUAAUACCUCUUAAAUAUUGACGUUACCAAUAGAAGAAGCACCGGCUAACUCUGUGCCAGCAGCCGCGGUAAUACAGAGGGUGCGAGCGUUAAUCGGAAUUACUGGGCGUAAAGAGUACGUAGGUGGUCAAAUNAGUCGGAUGUGAAAGCCCCAAGCUUAACUUGGGAAUUGCNUUCGAUACUAUUUGACUAGAGUACGGUAGAGAGAAGCGGAAUUCCUAGUGUAGCGGUGAAAUGCGUAGAUAUUAUGAAGAACACCAGUGGCGAAAGCGGCUUCUU